GGAGCAAGUCGGGCAGUCGCUGCCGGAAAAUUUCCGGGAGAGGAAAGUCCGAACACCGCAGGGCGGCGAGCCGGAUAACGUCCGGGCGUUUUCUUUUUCACGAAAGAGAACGACGACAAGUGCAACAGAGAAUAGACCAGCCGGUAGAUGGAAAUCUGCGGAUGAUAAUUCAUCAAUUCCGCUGUCGGUGAUGGGUGAAACGGUGCGGGGGCGAGUUGUCGCAGACGAAAAGCGUCCCAAAGGUAAGAGCGCACCAGCGCAUUUAGUAAUAAGUGCGGCUGGGUAAACUCCUCGCGGUGCAAGACCAAAUAGGAAAACGCUAAUUGAGAGCUGCCCGCUCUCGCGUUCCGGGUAAAACCGGACGGCGUUUUCGGGUAGGUCGCUCGAGCUGUUUGGCGACAAACAGCCUAGAUGAAUGAUUGCCGCUUUGAAGCAUUUCAAAGAACAAAAUUCGGCUUACAGACUUGCUCCAACC
This 475-nucleotide RNase P RNA is filed under the name Acidobacteriota bacterium. RNAcentral describes it as "RNase P RNA component class A". It matches the Rfam family "Bacterial RNase P class A". Rfam says of the family: Ribonuclease P (RNase P) is a ubiquitous endoribonuclease, found in archaea, bacteria and eukarya as well as chloroplasts and mitochondria. Its best characterised activity is the generation of mature 5'-ends of tRNAs by cleaving the 5'-leader elements of precursor-tRNAs. Lineage: Bacteria; Pseudomonadati; Acidobacteriota. The record is from RNAcentral.